This 72-nucleotide transfer RNA is filed under the name Microbotryum intermedium. It matches the Rfam family "tRNA". Rfam says of the family: Transfer RNA (tRNA) molecules are approximately 80 nucleotides in length. Their secondary structure includes four short double-helical elements and three loops (D, anti-codon, and T loops). The record is from Rfam by way of RNAcentral. RNAcentral also lists the same sequence under 2 other names. Lineage: Eukaryota; Fungi; Basidiomycota; Microbotryomycetes; Microbotryales; Microbotryaceae.
GACUCCUUCGUAUAGUGGUUAUUACGCUCGCUUGUGGCGCGAAUAACGCGUGUUCGAUUCACGCAGGGGUCA